Molecule: transfer RNA, 76 nt
Filed under: Acheilognathus chankaensis (Khanka spiny bitterling)
Lineage: Eukaryota; Metazoa; Chordata; Actinopteri; Cypriniformes; Acheilognathidae
Description: Acanthorhodeus chankaensis (Khanka spiny bitterling) tRNA-Leu
Rfam family: tRNA
About the family: Transfer RNA (tRNA) molecules are approximately 80 nucleotides in length.
Source: RNAcentral
AUUGGGGUGGCAGAGCAUGGUAAAUUGCAAAAGGUCUAAGCCCUUUCAAUCAGAGGUUCAAAUCCUCUUCCCAGUU